This 245-nucleotide ribosomal RNA is filed under the name uncultured bacterium. RNAcentral describes it as "partial 16S ribosomal RNA". It matches the Rfam family "Bacterial small subunit ribosomal RNA", at positions 524 to 768 of the family's 1533-position model. The record is from RNAcentral.
UACGGAGGAUGCAAGCGUUAUCCGGAAUGAUUGGGCGUAAAGCGUCCGCAGGUGGCAGUGUAAGUCUGCUGUUAAAGAAUGAGGCUUAACCUCAUCAGAGCAGUGGAAACUACACAGCUAGAGUGCGUUCGGGGUAGAGGGAAUUCCUGGUGUAGCGGUGAAAUGCGUAGAGAUCAGGAAGAACACCGGUGGCGAAAGCGCUCUACUAGGCCGCAACUGACACUGAGGGACGAAAGCUAGGGGAG